RNAcentral lists this ribosomal RNA (567 nucleotides) under [Candida] sp. ST-32. Its description in RNAcentral is "eukaryotic LSU rRNA". It matches the Rfam family "Eukaryotic large subunit ribosomal RNA", at positions 37 to 668 of the family's 3401-position model. Lineage: Eukaryota; Fungi; Ascomycota; Saccharomycetes; Saccharomycetales. The record is from RNAcentral.
UGCAUAUCAAUAAGCGGAGGAAAAGAAACCAACAAGGGAUUGCCCCAGUAACGGCGAGUGAAGCGGCAAAAGCUCAAAUUUGAAAUCCCGCGGGAAUUGUAAUUUGAAGGCCCCGAUCGACAUUUCCGCCCAAGUCCAUUGGAACAUGGCGCCCCAGAGGGUGAGAGCCCCGUGGGGCGGAACGUCAUUUUGAUCAGGCGCCGACGAGUCGAGUUGUUUGGGAAUGCAGCUCAAAGUGGGUGGUAAAUUCCAUCUAAAGCUAAAUAUUGGCGAGAGACCGAUAGCGAACAAGUACAGUGAUGGAAAGAUGAAAAGCACUUUGAAAAGAGAGUGAAACAGCACGUGAAAUUGUUGGAAGGGAAGGGCUUGCAAGCAGACACGGCCUUUUUUUUGGCCGGGCCAGCAUCGGUUGUGCGGGGCGGACAAUUCGUCGGGAACGUGGCUCUCGCCUUCGGGCGGGAGUGUUAUAGCCCGGCGCGAUACGCCCACACGCGACCGAGGCCUGCGGAGUAAUCCUAGGAUGCUGGCGUAAUGGUUGCAAGCCGCCCGUCUUGAAACACCGGACCA